UUUUUCCUGAGUGAAUACCUGCAUGUGAGCUCUGUGGAGAUUGGGACAUGAAGCCUUCUCAUCUCUCCAUGGACUGUGAUCUGGAGUCUCCUGAGCACAACCAGGGGCGUGAAGUCAGUGUCGGGAGGAUGGGGUUCAGGAAUAAAGUUGAGUCACCCAUCCAGGGGGAGUGGCUGUUAUGGAGAAUCAGAAGUCUGCCCUCCUUGUGCCAAUAUAUAACACUCUGAUCUUUAAUGAGAACGCAUGAGGCAGACUUUGAUUGUACAUCUGUCUUUGGAUUCCAGGCAGGAUGAAGGUAGUGGAUGAUCUGAAACACUCAAAUUCUUCUAAAGCAUCAGGUAA
Molecule: long non-coding RNA, 342 nt
Organism: Bubalus bubalis (water buffalo)
Lineage: Eukaryota; Metazoa; Chordata; Mammalia; Artiodactyla; Bovidae
Exons: 3
Source: RefSeq, a predicted model, not a curated record